Molecule: ribosomal RNA, 671 nt
Filed under: Escherichia coli
Lineage: Bacteria; Pseudomonadati; Pseudomonadota; Gammaproteobacteria; Enterobacterales; Enterobacteriaceae
Also listed under: 1 other name
Description: bacterial SSU rRNA
Rfam family: Bacterial small subunit ribosomal RNA
Source: RNAcentral
AAGUCGACCGCCUGGGGAGUACGGCCGCAAGGUUAAAACUCAAAUGAAUUGACGGGGGCCCGCACAAGCGGUGGAGCAUGUGGUUUAAUUCGAUGCAACGCGAAGAACCUUACCUGGUCUUGACAUCCACGGAAGUUUUCAGAGAUGAGAAUGUGCCUUCGGGAACCGUGAGACAGGUGCUGCAUGGCUGUCGUCAGCUCGUGUUGUGAAAUGUUGGGUUAAGUCCCGCAACGAGCGCAACCCUUAUCCUUUGUUGCCAGCGGUCCGGCCGGGAACUCAAAGGAGACUGCCAGUGAUAAACUGGAGGAAGGUGGGGAUGACGUCAAGUCAUCAUGGCCCUUACGACCAGGGCUACACACGUGCUACAAUGGCGCAUACAAAGAGAAGCGACCUCGCGAGAGCAAGCGGACCUCAUAAAGUGCGUCGUAGUCCGGAUUGGAGUCUGCAACUCGACUCCAUGAAGUCGGAAUCGCUAGUAAUCGUGGAUCAGAAUGCCACGGUGAAUACGUUCCCGGGCCUUGUACACACCGCCCGUCACACCAUGGGAGUGGGUUGCAAAAGAAGUAGGUAGCUUAACCUUCGGGAGGGCGCUUACCACUUUGUGAUUCAUGACUGGGGUGAAGUCGUAACAAGGUAACCGUAGGGGAACCUGCGGUUGGAUCACCUCCUUA